This 329-nucleotide ribosomal RNA is filed under the name uncultured eukaryote. RNAcentral's name for it is "partial 18S ribosomal RNA". It matches the Rfam family "Eukaryotic small subunit ribosomal RNA", at positions 1470 to 1796 of the family's 1831-position model. The record is from RNAcentral.
CCCUUAGAUGUUCUGGGCCGCACGCGUGCUACACUGACCGGCGCAACAAGCUUUUUUCCUUGGCUCGACAGGCCUGGGUAAUCUUCGAACGCCGGUCGUGAUGGGGAUAGAUCCUUGCAAUUUUUGAUCUUCAACGAGGAAUUCCUAGUAAAUGCGAGUCAUCAUCUCGCGUUGAUUACGUCCCUGCCCUUUGUACACACCGCCCGUCGCUACUACCGAUUGAACGUUUUAGUGAGGUAUUUGGACUGGACCUUCGGAGGUUCGCGCCUCCGUUGCUGUUCGGGAAGACUCCCAAACUUGAGCGUUUAGAGGAAGUAAAANUCGUANCA